This 920-nucleotide long non-coding RNA is filed under the name Homo sapiens (human). Its description in RNAcentral is "HSALNT0233951". Lineage: Eukaryota; Metazoa; Chordata; Mammalia; Primates; Hominidae. The record is from RNAcentral.
CCAUUAAAGAGGACCAUCAUGUAGUGUGAGGAGUCAACAUUUCACACUAGAAAGCCCUUGGUUCAAGUUUUGUCUCUGCCACCUACAGAUUUUGUAACCCUGAGGAAACUAGCUACCUCUUUAUGUACUGCCCUAUGGAGAGGCACACAUGUCAAGAAACUGAGGGAGUGCCUUCCAGUCAACAGCCAGCCAGGAACUAAGGUGCUCAGUACAGCAGCCUCCACAAAGGACUGAACAAUGCCAACAGCUAUUUGACUGUGCUUGGAAGAUCUCCGUUUAGUUAACCCUUCAGAUGAGACCGCAGCCCUGGCCAGCAAACAAAUUGCAGCCUAUGGAAAGACCUUAAGGCAGAAGCACCCAACUGAACCACCCGAGGGCUCUGACUUACAGAAACUGUGAGCAGAUAGUGAAAUGGCCUCUACCUUAUUUUGAAUGGAUUUCUGGGAUAAAGUUCUUCAGUGAUAACAUGUUUGAAGAAAGCUGCAUUUCCUGAGGGGACACCAAUGGAUACACCUCUGCCUGGCACGCAGCUUAGAGGCUAAAUGUAUGAAAAGCAACACCAUGCAAAUCAUUUUGAAACUGCUGUGGAACUCUCACGGGACCCUCCAUUCUAGACAUCCAGUCCCACUAGUGAUCUGACCAUGAAACCUACUAAGAGACUUCCAGAAGAAGAUGACCUCUGAAAGGAGAAAACUUUCUUCCAAGCUUCUGUGGAACAAGAAGAUGCCAUCCCUUUGGUGGAGCCCAAAGGGAAACCAGGACACUGAAGGAAUUAACCAGAAAGAAAAGAAGAGAAGAAGGAGAAGAAAGAAGAAGAAGAAGAAGGAGAAGGAGAAGGAGACGAGGGAAGAGGGAGAAGAGAGAGAAGAGGGAGGAAAAGAAGAAGAAGAAGAAAUACCAUGCAACAUCUAAACUCCUGC